GUUGUGUAAGUACGUACAUAUGCACACCGAGGUAAAGGAAUUCUUGAACCAACAAAAUAGACUUUGUUGGAGUCCAUUAACUUCAAUCUAGUAUCCCUUAUUUGUUCCGAAUACGAUGACUUCAAUACAACUAUUCCAGUUUAGUUAUUUUGG
This is a long non-coding RNA of Diprion similis, 153 nucleotides long. RefSeq lists it as uncharacterized. The transcript is spliced from 3 exons. The record is from RefSeq and is a predicted model, not a curated record. Lineage: Eukaryota; Metazoa; Arthropoda; Insecta; Hymenoptera; Diprionidae.